CAAUAGCGUAUAUUUAAGUUGUUGCAGUUAAAAAGCUCGUAGUCGGAUUUUGGCUGAGAACGAACGGUCCGCCGUUAGGUGUGCACUGUUUGGCCUCAGCUUCCUGGUGAGGAGGUGUGCUUCACGGCCACUUAGUCACCGUGGUUACUUUGAAAAAAUUAGAGUGUUCAAAGCGGGCUUACGCUUGAAUAUAUUAGCAUGGAAUAACACCAUAGGACUCCUGUCCUAUUUCGUUGGUCUCGGGACGGGAGUAAUGAUUAAGAGGAACAGUUGGGGGCAUUCGUAUUUCAUUGUCAGAGGUGAAAUUCUUGGAUUUAUGAAAGACGAACUUCUGCGAAAGCAUUUGCCAAGGAUGUUUUCAUUGA
This 365-nucleotide ribosomal RNA is filed under the name uncultured eukaryote. RNAcentral describes it as "partial 18S ribosomal RNA". It matches the Rfam family "Eukaryotic small subunit ribosomal RNA", at positions 592 to 976 of the family's 1831-position model. The record is from RNAcentral.